AGCUAACGCAUUAAGCAUACCGCCUGGGGAGUACGGUCGCAAGAUUAAAACUCAAAGGAAUAGACGGGGACCCGCACAAGCGGUGGAGCAUGUGGUUUAAUUCGAAGAUACGCGAAGAACCUUACCUAGGCUUGAUAUCCAACAAAUUCUGUAGAGAUACGGAAGUGCUAGCUUGCUAGAAUGUUGAGACAGGUGCUGCACGGCUGUCGUCAGCUCGUGUCGUGAGAUGUUGGGUUAAGUCCCGCAACGAGCGCAACCCUCGUCCUUAGUUGCUAACGAUUCGGUCGAGCACUCUAAGGAGACUGCCUUCGUAAGGAGGAGGAAGGUGGGGACGACGUCAAGUCAUCAUGGCCCUUACGCCUAGGGCGACACACGUGCUACAAUGGCAUAUACAAUGAGACGCAAUACCGCGAGGUGGAGCAAAUCUAUAAAAUAUGUCCCAGUUCGGAUUGUUCUCUGCAACUCGAGAGCAUGAAGCCGGAAUCGCUAGUAAUCGCAAAUCAGCCAUGUUGCGGUGAAUACGUUCCCGGGUCUUGUACUCACCGCCCGUCACACCAUGGGAGUUGAUUUCACUCGAAGUGGAAAUACUAAACUAGUUAUCCCCCACAGUGGAAUCAGCGACUGGGGUGAAGUCGUAAC
Molecule: ribosomal RNA, 639 nt
Filed under: Campylobacter upsaliensis
Lineage: Bacteria; Pseudomonadati; Campylobacterota; Epsilonproteobacteria; Campylobacterales; Campylobacteraceae
Description: bacterial SSU rRNA
Rfam family: Bacterial small subunit ribosomal RNA
Source: RNAcentral